CAGUAGCCGCGGGAAUACGUAGGGUGCAAGCGUUAAUCGGAAUUAUUGGGCGUAAAGCGAGUGCAGACGGUUACUUAAGCCAGAUGUGAAAUCCCCAAGCUUAACUUGGGACGUGCAUUUGAAACUGGGUGACUAGAGUGUGUCAGAGGGAGGUAGAAUUCCACAUGUAGCGGUGGAAUGCGUAGAGAUGUGGAGGAAUACCGAUGGCGAAGGCAGCCUCCUGGGAUAACACUGACGUUGAGGCUCGAAAGCGUGGGGAGCAAACAGGAUUAGAUACCCGCGUAGUCCCUGUCUCUUAUAC
RNAcentral lists this ribosomal RNA (301 nucleotides) under uncultured bacterium. RNAcentral's name for it is "partial 16S ribosomal RNA". It matches the Rfam family "Bacterial small subunit ribosomal RNA", at positions 509 to 807 of the family's 1533-position model. The record is from RNAcentral.